This is a long non-coding RNA of Corvus hawaiiensis (hawaiian crow), 711 nucleotides long. RefSeq lists it as uncharacterized. The transcript is spliced from 3 exons. The record is from RefSeq and is a predicted model, not a curated record. Lineage: Eukaryota; Metazoa; Chordata; Aves; Passeriformes; Corvidae.
CUUCGUACUGAUCAGAAAUGUUGAACAUGAUCCCCUGCACAAGAAAACAUGCCAUUUUUAUGGGAGAAACAUGAAAAUGAGAACAUUUUACCUACAAGAUCUCCUGCGCAGCUGGAAAAUAGGGUGUCAUCAUCUGUCACAAAAGACUGCCAUAGAUCUACAGACUGAGAAACAAAUGCAGAAGGGUUUUAUCAGGAUAAUUUUACAUUUUGGAUGGCUGUACAGAAGAACGUCUUGAGCUGAAUAAGGAACUGCUGGAUCAUCUUCUCUCACUGUGGUAUGGGGAAAACUAGAUUGGGCUCAGGCUGCUUCUCUGAGAGACUAGGAGAGGUCUCUGCCAGUUUGUGAGUUUGUACACCGUGACAAAAGAAAACUUCAAAAGGAAUUAAUGUUGAUCCCACUUUGGAACAACCAAGGCUCCAGAGGAGAACCAUUUACUGGAAAGAGCACUCCCAGAUCUAGCUCCAAAAUCAUUAAGAGCUUAGAUCAUAGAGUGGUUCUUAAACUCCAUUGCAUGUUUUCCCUCCAUAUGUGUUUCUUAAUUGCUAAUCUCCUGAAUCUUUUGAGGUUCCACCUAUGGCGGGCAGUCCUCCAGGAAUGCUUCAGUGUGGGUCUCUUUCCACACGAUCCAGUCCUUCAGGAACAGACUGUUCCGGUGUGAAUUCCCUGCAGAGUCGCAAGUCCUGCCAGCAAACCUUCUCCAGUGUGGUC